AUGGUCCAAAGCCAUUUGAAUGUGCAGUCAACGCCGGAGAGGUUCUGUACCUGCCAAGCAUGUGGUUUCAUCAUGUACGACAGAGUUCGGAUGACGAAGGAUGCACUAUUGCCAUAAACUAUUGGUAUGAUAUGCAGUUUGAUAUGAAGUAUGCUUAUUUCAACUUCUUGCAAUCAAUUCAAUAUGGAUCAACUUUGACUCAACC
This 205-nucleotide unclassified non-coding RNA is filed under the name Hevea brasiliensis (rubber tree). The record is from RNAcentral. Lineage: Eukaryota; Viridiplantae; Streptophyta; Magnoliopsida; Malpighiales; Euphorbiaceae.